This 403-nucleotide long non-coding RNA is filed under the name Olea europaea subsp. europaea. Lineage: Eukaryota; Viridiplantae; Streptophyta; Magnoliopsida; Lamiales; Oleaceae. The record is from RNAcentral.
GCCGCCGCAGCCUCCACCUGCACCUCCACCUCCACCUCCAUCCAUAGCCAUAUCAACCCAACUCAAAUUGUAAUUCACAAGACUGGAUUAUUAGAAACUCGUGGGGUGAAUACUGGGGAGAAAAGGGCUACGUCAGGAUGCAGCUUAAUCUGGCUGCCAAAUCCGGUCUAUGUGGAAUAGCCAUGGAGCCAUCGUACCCAAUCGAGAUUGGCAAAAAUCCACAAACCUGAGUACAUCUGAAAAAACUCUGAAACUGCCACAAUUGAGAAUCAUAUUUUCCUUUUCCAUUUUACACAGGAAGAAGAAAGAAUCAGUAAAGCUCACUACUUUUGGAGCAAAUAAGAAAACAAAAAGUGACACAAAAGCUGAACUCAAAAGGGAAAAAGGUGACAGAAGAGAGUUA